This is a long non-coding RNA of Portunus trituberculatus (swimming crab), 256 nucleotides long. RefSeq lists it as uncharacterized. The record is from RefSeq and is a predicted model, not a curated record. The transcript has 3 exons. Lineage: Eukaryota; Metazoa; Arthropoda; Malacostraca; Decapoda; Portunidae.
CUGCUCUGCCCCUUGGACACCACCACCACCACCACUUGGCUCAGCAUAUAACCAUUAUCAUGUUCCGGAGGGCUUGGUGCUUGAUUGGCUGUAGUCGACCAUGGCGGACGAUUAAUUAAACGGGAACUCGCCAAUGUUUACUCUUUAGACGAUGUUUACCUGCCUCGUCCAUCGGAGAGGCUGUUGCACCCAGAAUUAUUGAUCAACUCUGAGAGGAGUGGCGGGGGUGCGUCGGAUUUAAUGGAGGAGCCUCACA